This is a long non-coding RNA of Podarcis raffonei (Aeolian wall lizard), 3012 nucleotides long. RefSeq lists it as uncharacterized. NCBI's taxonomy places the organism in Eukaryota, Metazoa, Chordata, Lepidosauria, Squamata, Lacertidae. The record is from RefSeq and is a predicted model, not a curated record. The transcript is spliced from 4 exons.
UUAUUCAGGGCAAGUGUGCAUAAAAAUGCAUAUAUUACUGGAAAUAAACAAUAAAAUGAAUUAUAUUGUGCAAAAUUGUUUACAAAAAUAUGUUUAUUAGGAUAAAUAAAUACUAAAAUGCUGAUAAACUUUUUUGAUUACCCUUUUUAAAAUUGCAAACUGAUGCAGAAAUACAGCAAACUGAACCUAAGUUUUGAAAAAUGAGAAACUCAGAGGGAUGCUGAAAAUGACAACUCCAUCCAUGCUUCACACUGCUGCAUGACCAUCUGCUUGGUUUUGCAGUGUAAAAUAGAUUAACCUGGCUCUGCCUCACAAGGUAAGGCAUACAGAAGAAGAUGAAAGGAAUUGGUGAAAGCCAGAAGAAGAAAAACAUUGAAAGAGGAAAAGCAAGGCCUGUGAUUCACCAAUGAGCCAAGUGACAAGAGUUCUUUCUCAAAGCUUAAGAAGACGCUGAAUGACUUCAGAUUCACAGAGUUCAUUUCAAAUAGUUCACCUGUACAAUGGGCAAUUGUUUGCAGUGGAGUUUUUGGCUUAGACUUCCUCCUGCAGCCACUGUUUGGGUAUAAUUUGAUGGGGAAAGCUUCACUAGAUGGAUCUUGGCGUGUGAAGGGAACAGAUGCCCUGCCAAAGAAGAAGUUAUCCUAAAUCUGGGCUGGCUCAAGACCUGGCACCCUACCAUUCCUUGAACCAUGUGUCCCUGCUCCAGUUCUCCAGUUCCUAUUCCUGCAGCCGCAGCUGCUCAAAUGCCAAGCCCAGGAAUUAAGAGUCUGUUUCUCCUUUCAUCCCUGGCGGAAGGGCUGCACUGGAAGUUCACUGGGAGCAACAUCCGGAGGUUUUCUGUUUGCUACUGACACUGUGGAAGGGCCAGUGGUGUGCUGAUCCCCCUCUGAGAAGUCUUAAACUGCCAAAUUGGUUCCCAACUAAAGUGAAUGUUGAUCUGCAUUAUCAGUGUUAGCACUACUUGUUAAGUUGUGGGUGAACAUAUCAGACGACACAGCGAUUCUUCAAACAGCUCUUAUUUAUUCACAGGCCAGGACAGAACUGAACUGAAGGGCUCAGUCAGCCUGCUUAUAUAGAGCUCUAUUACCACGUUACUGUAACAACUUUCUAAAACUAUCCAAUCACUGAACGUCACUUUCGACCCUUCAUUUGCAUAACUAUCUACAGUAUCCCCCUGCUGGCCCAGGGUGAGAACUUCAGUACAUAACACUACUUAUGUGCCUUUACUCCACUGUCAGUUUCGUUAGAGAAUUUAGACAUGGAAACUGCUGGGCUCCUUUCAGAAAGUGGGCCCUUAUAUUAAAUGUCAGUUUUAAUAUAAAUGUCAAUUUUCAGAAUUUCUUUAAAAUCUGCAACUGAGUGAUUUUUUGAUAAGAUAUUUAAUAACAAUAAUCCCCCCCCCCUGUUUUUAAACCAUUGGCAUAUAACCAAGUGUGCUUCUGUGUCAUAAAACUCUAAGCAUUCUUGGAGCUCUUAUUUACUACCAGCUGGAUCUAUAGCAACAUGUGUUUUGUGUAUUAUAGUGUCUCCUGUGUGUUGAUGUGACAUAUGAUCUAUGCAAAAAGAAUGACAGACCAGGUGAGAAAGCGUAUUCCCUUUCUGUUUAAAAACUCUGUGAGUCUAGAUAAGAAGAGCAACCGGGAAGAAGGGAGAAGGAAUGUCAGUUAUUGAUGUUGCAAAAUUAAUAACGCUUGGGUUAUGUCAGUGGGAGGUUAAUUUUAGAGGGACUUUCACCGGUUAUAAACAGCAUGACCAGUCAGGAUGUGGCUACAACUCUACUCCUUCCACCAUAAGCCUGUGUUUUAUUUCAAAAGUCUUCACUUCUGUAUUUGGUUUCUCUUUUAGGAAGCGAAACCUGAGCUUAUGGUGCCAUGUUUAAAUUCUUCGGUCAGAGUUCAUUAAAUAACUUUUUGUGUUUUUCUGCAGGGAGAAUGCCUUGGAUUAUAUGGUAAUAUAAUAUAUUCUUGCUUUCAAACACCGUAAAAAUUUUGUCCCAGAAUCCCCCUCGGCUCCAGUGCUCAGUAUAACAUGAACAUGCCUGGUUCAUAGAACACAAUAUGCUUAACUUGGGGCUAGUAACUACAAUCAGUUCAGUAUGUGGGGAUUUGGCAAAGUGGGUUUAUUUUUCAAAUGCUUAUUAUGCUUUUUCAAUAUGAUGGUAUAGUCAUGACCAGACAUCUGCAUAUGAUGUCUAAGCAUGUGCCUCAUUCAAAUCAGUCCCUGAUGGAUGUCUUUCCAAGGGGUGAAGUGUAGGGAAACAAAUUCAAUUCAUCUGCCUAAUCUGUGCUUUCCAAAACAAUGCACAAACAGUAACACAGCUAUUUAAAUUCACUUAUCCGAAUUUUGCAAAGCAGUUCUCUAGCCAAGUAACGUGUCAAAAAAUGCAUGUACUGGAAUGAAGUGUGUAUAAAGAUGCAUAGUGAAAAUUGCUUUGCCAAAAUGUGUAUAGUAGGCAGAAUUGCACAAAUAUGUGUAUAGUAGGAGAAAUUCACGCUAAAACACUGAAUUUUCAUUAGGACUUAUUUCUUAAUAAUUUUCAAGCUGAUGUGGAACUGAACUUAAGAAUGGAAAAAUGAAAAACUAAGAGAAACCAAAUUGACAGAUUUGCCCAUUCCUAUGUGUGGAAGAUUCUACCUGGCUUGCUACUGGAUGCCAAUGAGAUAAGAAUAGAAAAGAAAAGAGACAAUUCUACCCUGAAGUUUCCAUAGUCUCCUGACUCAUUGCUAUAUAUAUUUGAACCUAUGGUGAGCUCUCAGCUAACCAAAAUAGCACCUAUAAAAACAGAGUUGGCCUUACUACUCUUUGCAAACAAGCCUAAUUUUGACAAGGAAAGUCAGAAUAAUGGAUUCUAUAGUUGUCAGAGGAGACACAUAGUUGCUUCUGCAUCUGCUGGGCAAAGACCACCAUGUAUUGAACUGGCCCUCUGUUUUAAUUUUAAAAAACAUAUAUUAGAUUUAAUGAAUUGUGAGCAGGGUUCAAUGAAACAGUUGUGUGCUUCAUUGGUUUACUAUU